AAGUCUUUUACAUUUUAAUUACUGUGUAACUUUUAUAAUUUUAUUGGGCUUUAUAAUUUUAUAGGACUAAGAAGUAUAUACAUUUGCAUUAACACAGUUUUAUGCAUUAAACAAUAUUUUAACAAAAAUAAUUCAAGACAAUAUUGAGUCCAAAAGAAUUAUUUUUUUCCUUAAGGAAGUCCACAUGUUACUCAAGGUAAAGAAA
RNAcentral lists this long non-coding RNA (205 nucleotides) under Bos taurus (domestic cattle). Its description in RNAcentral is "long non-coding RNA NONBTAT006021". The record is from RNAcentral. Lineage: Eukaryota; Metazoa; Chordata; Mammalia; Artiodactyla; Bovidae.